UGGAUUAGGCGUGCAAGUCGUGCGCGAAAGUGGUAGCAAUACUGCGAGUAGAGCGGCGAACUGGUGAGUACAAGGUGAAUAACGUGCCCUCGAGUUGGGGAUAACCCCGGGAAACCGGAGCUAAUACCGGAUAGUCUCACUGACCGCAAGGAAUGUGAGUAAAGCAGCAAUGCGCUUGAGGAUCGGUUCACCUCCCAUUAGCUAGUUGGUGGGGUAAUGGCCCACCAAGGCUACGAUGGGUAGCUGGACUGAGAGGUUGACCAGCCACACUGGGACUGAGAUACGGCCCAGACUCCUACGGGGGGCAGCAGUCUAGAGGCUUCGUCAAUGCCCGAAAGGGUGAACGAGCGACGCCGCGUGCGGGAUGAAGGGCUUCGGCUUGUAAACCGCUUUUCUUUGGAAAGAAGGCCCUGAUCGUGAAUCAGGGAUUGACGGUACCAGGGGAAUAAGCCCCGGCUAACUCCGUGCCAGCAGCCGCGGUAAGACGGAGGGGGCAAGCGUUGUUCGGAAUUAUUGGGCGUAAAGGGCUCGUAGGCGGACCGGUGUGUCUGGCGUGAAAUCUCCACUGCUUAACAGGGAGGGGCCGCUGGAAACUGCCGAUCUUGAGUAUGGUAGAGGACCAUGGAAUUUCGGGUGUAGCGGUGGAAUGCGUAGAUAUCCGAAAGAACACCGGUGGCGAAGGCGGUGGUCUGGACCAAAACUGACGCUGAGGAGCGAAAGCCAGGGGA
Molecule: ribosomal RNA, 728 nt
Filed under: uncultured soil bacterium
Lineage: Bacteria
Description: bacterial SSU rRNA
Rfam family: Bacterial small subunit ribosomal RNA
Source: RNAcentral